AGCAACGCCGCGUGAGUGAUGAAGGUUUUCGGAUCGUAAAGCUCUGUUGUUAGGGAAGAACAAGUGCGAGAGUAACUGCUCGCACCUUGACGGUACCUAACCAGAAAGCCACGGCUAACUACGUGCCAGCAGCCGCGGUAAUACGUAGGUGGCAAGCGUUGUCCGGAAUUAUUGGGCGUAAAGGGCUCGCAGGCGGUUUCUUAAGUCUGAUGUGAAAGCCCCCGGCUCAACCGGGGAGGGUCAUUGGAAACUGGGAAACUUGAGUGCAGAAGAGGAGAGUGGAAUUCCACGUGUAGCGGUGAAAUGCGUAGAGAUGUGGAGGAACACCAGUGGCGAAGGCGACUCUCUGGUCUGUAACUGACGCUGAGGAGCGAAAGCGUGGGGAGCGAACAGGAUUAGAUACCCUGGUAGUCCACGCCGUAAACGAUGAGUGCUAAGUGUUAGGGGGUUUCCGCCCCUUAGUGCUGCAGCUAACGCAUUAAGCA
RNAcentral lists this ribosomal RNA (485 nucleotides) under Bacillus pumilus. Its description in RNAcentral is "bacterial SSU rRNA". It matches the Rfam family "Bacterial small subunit ribosomal RNA", at positions 390 to 866 of the family's 1533-position model. Lineage: Bacteria; Bacillati; Bacillota; Bacilli; Caryophanales; Bacillaceae. The record is from RNAcentral.